Molecule: ribosomal RNA, 301 nt
Filed under: uncultured bacterium
Lineage: Bacteria
Description: partial 16S ribosomal RNA
Rfam family: Bacterial small subunit ribosomal RNA
Source: RNAcentral
CAGCCGCCGCGGGAAUACGAGGGGGGCAAGCGUUGUUCGGAAUUAUUGGGCGUAAAGGGUGCGUAGGCGGUUUGAUAAGUCUUGUGUGAAAUCUCUGGGCUCAACCCAGAGUCUGCACAGGAAACUGUCAGGCUUGAGGCUGGGAGAGGUGAGUGGAAUUUCCGGUGUAGCGGUGAAAUGCGUAGAUAUCGGAAGGAACACCUGUGGCGAAAGCGGCUCACUGGACCAUUUCUGACGCUGAUGCACGAAAGCUAGGGGAGCAAACAGGAUUAGAUACCCCCGUAGUCCCUGUCUCUUAUAC